RNAcentral lists this ribosomal RNA (495 nucleotides) under uncultured bacterium. RNAcentral's name for it is "partial 16S ribosomal RNA". It matches the Rfam family "Bacterial small subunit ribosomal RNA", at positions 28 to 508 of the family's 1533-position model. The record is from RNAcentral.
GACGAACGCUGGCGGCGUGCUUAGCACAUGCAAGUCGAACGGAAAGGCCUGCUUUCCCUUGUGGAUUGCGGGUACUCGAGUGGCGAACGGGUGAGUAACACGUGAGUGAUCUGCCCCCAACUUGGGUAUAAGCCUGGGAAACUGGGUCUAAUUCCCGAUAGGACUGCAGGGUGGUGCCUGUGGUGGAAAACGAUUUUCUAGUGGUUGGGGAUGAGCUCGCGGCCUAUCAGCUUGUUGGUGGGGUAAUGGCCUACCAAGGCGGCGACGGGUAGCCGGCCUGGGAGGGGGGACGGCCACAUUGGGACUGAGAUACGGCCCAGACGCCUACGGGAGGCAGCAGUGGGGAAUAUUGCACAAUGGGCGGAAGCCUGAUGCAGCGACGCCGCGUGGGGGAUGACGGCCUUCGGGUUGUAAACUCCUUUCGACCGCGAGGAAGCCACCUGGUUGGAAGGGUGGUGACGGUAGUGGGAGAAGAAGCACCGGCUAACUACGUGC